Molecule: long non-coding RNA, 519 nt
Organism: Pimephales promelas (fathead minnow)
Lineage: Eukaryota; Metazoa; Chordata; Actinopteri; Cypriniformes; Leuciscidae
Source: RefSeq, a predicted model, not a curated record
CUUUUAUAUUCACAGACGCUGAGCGCGAAUUUUACCAAAGUCGACACGUUUUUACGGGUCAAGUGCGUGAUGAGAUGUGCCUCCACUCUGAAGACACAGAUAACGAAUCUACAAACAAAGAACAGCAAUUAAUCACAAGAGUGGAUUGUUUUUAGUAUUUCAGCAAUUGGACUCGUUUCCAUCCUUUUUGGCGUCUCCUGCAUUUGAAGUCAUUGCUUUCAUCUGAUUCAGCAGCUGUCCAUCUGCAUUUCUGUUUGCAUUACUCUGCUUACAUUUUGAACCCUUAGCGAUAAUAAAAGUGUUUUCCAUUUUGGUUAUAGUUGUACAGUCAAGUUUGUUCUUGAUCUUGAUUUAAUGUGCUUGUGUGGAGAUUUGCUGUGACAAUUAUUUUUCACAGCACUUCAUAUUUGGGAGGAGGAUGCAAAGAUAUUUAUAUGGUGGAUUCUUUUAACUAUUGCAUGAAUAUGUUCACUGUGAUUUACAUUAAUCACACAUUAAAUAGACAGUUUUUAAAAAUCA